CUCGCGUCAGGAUAUGCCUAGGUGGGAUNAGCUAGUUGGUGAGGUAAUGGCUCACCAAGGCGACGAUCCCUAGCUGGUCUGAGAGGAUGAUCAGCCACACUGGAACUGAGACACGGUCCAGACUCCUACGGGAGGCAGCAGUGGGGAAUAUUGCACAAUGGGCGCAAGCCUGAUGCAGCCAUGCCGCGUGUGUGAAGAAGGCCUUCGGGUUGUAAAGCACUUUCAGUCGUGAGGAAGGUAGUGUAGUUAAUAGCUGCAUUAUUUGACGUUAGCGACAGAAGAAGCACCGGCUAACUCCGUGCCAGCAGCCGCGGUAAUACGGAGGGUGCGAGCGUUAAUCGGAAUUACUGGGCGUAAAGCGCAUGCAGGUGGUUUGUUAAGUCAGAUGUGAAAGCCCGGGGCUCAACCUCGGAAUAGCAUUUGAAACUGGCAGACUAGAGUACUGUAGAGGGGGGUAGAAUUUCA
Molecule: ribosomal RNA, 465 nt
Filed under: Vibrio harveyi
Lineage: Bacteria; Pseudomonadati; Pseudomonadota; Gammaproteobacteria; Vibrionales; Vibrionaceae
Description: bacterial SSU rRNA
Rfam family: Bacterial small subunit ribosomal RNA
Source: RNAcentral